Molecule: transfer RNA, 88 nt
Filed under: Deltaproteobacteria bacterium
Lineage: Bacteria; Pseudomonadati; Myxococcota; Myxococcia
Description: tRNA-Leu
Rfam family: tRNA
About the family: Transfer RNA (tRNA) molecules are approximately 80 nucleotides in length. Their secondary structure includes four short double-helical elements and three loops (D, anti-codon, and T loops). Further hydrogen bonds mediate the characteristic L-shaped molecular structure. tRNAs have two regions of fundamental functional importance: the anti-codon, which is responsible for specific mRNA codon recognition, and the 3' end, to which the tRNAs corresponding amino acid is attached (by aminoacyl-tRNA synthetases). tRNAs cope with the degeneracy of the genetic code in two manners: having more than one tRNA (with a specific anti-codon) for a particular amino acid; and 'wobble' base-pairing, i.e. permitting non-standard base-pairing at the 3rd anti-codon position.
Source: RNAcentral
GCGGAAGUGGCGGAAUUGGUAGACGCGCCAGGUUCAGGACCUGGUGAGCAAUACGCUCAUGGGGGUUCGAUUCCCCCCUUCCGCACCA